This 447-nucleotide ribosomal RNA is filed under the name uncultured bacterium. RNAcentral's name for it is "bacterial SSU rRNA". It matches the Rfam family "Bacterial small subunit ribosomal RNA", at positions 329 to 793 of the family's 1533-position model. The record is from RNAcentral.
GUCCAGACUCCUACGGGAGGCAGCAGUGGGGAAUAUUGCACAAUGGGGGAAACCCUGAUGCAGCGACGCCGCGUGAGUGAAGAAGUAUUUCGGUAUGUAAAGCUCUAUCAGCAGGGAAGAAAAUGACGGUACCUGACUAAGAAGCCCCGGCUAACUACGUGCCAGCAGCCGCGGUAAUACGUAGGGGGCAAGCGUUAUCCGGAUUUACUGGGUGUAAAGGGAGCGUAGACGGCACGGCAAGUCAGAUGUGAAAGCCCGGGGCUCAACCCCGGGACUGCAUUUGAAACUGUCAGGCUGGAGUGCAGGAGAGGUAAGUGGAAUUCCUAGUGUAGCGGUGAAAUGCGCAGAUAUUAGGAGGAACACCAGUGGCGAAGGCGGCUUACUGGACUGUAACUGACGUUGAGGCUCGAAAGCGUGGGGAGCAAACAGGAUUAGAUACCCUGGUAU